AUUUGUACAUUACUGUUUGAUUAUCUCACAUUCUGGUCCACAACUCAAUCAUCAUAUGUAUUUGUUAUUAUAUCUCCUUAUCAUAAUAUUAUAUGUAACACUACUUCAUUCAUUAAUAUAUUGGAAUUUUGUUUUUAAAAUAAAGUAUCAUUUUUACACUGUACUGACAUGUCCUCCAUUUCUUUAACAGAUUCCUGGACCUAUUUGGAAUCUUGGAUGAAUAUGAAUGAAGAUCUUAAACUUAGUAAAUAUACCGAAUUUAGGAUCUUCAUUCAUAAUUGUCCAGGAUUCCAAAACCUUAAAAUCCUGGAAUCUAGAAUGUUAAAGGUCAAAAGAUUACAGAUAUUUGUGAAAUAGAAAUCAAAUUCUGCACUUAGAGUCCACUUAAAAUGCUUUAAAAUUCUUGAAUAUUGAAUUUACACUUGAUCAGUGAAAAAGAAAUUACAAUGAUUUGGCAAAAUCUUAAAUCUUAGAUUAAAUUAUUAGAAGAAUUUGAAAUUAGAAUAAACAAAGAUAAAAAAGAAAUCUGGAUUUAUGACAUUAAAAAUAAGAAUCCCUUUUAUAGCAUAUGGAAGUUGAAAAGGAAAAUAAGCAAAAAGGAGGGCUAAUGCUCCAAAUUCUAAGAUCAGACAUCCAUUUAAAUUCAGAUAUCAGUGAUACAGGAAAAUUGAUUACAUGGCAAGAAAUGUGAAACUAAAAAUGUAAAUAACUACCAAAAAGUGAAAAAUGCUAUGAAAGUUUAUUUUUUAACUCCUAGAAAAAAUAAAAUAAUUGAAAAGAACACUGCAAUGAAUGUAAAGCUUGAAAAGGAUAAAAUAUGGUGUUUGGAUGACAGUGCAAUAUUACACAUGCGUUUUAAUGAACAAAAAUUCCAAAGUUUAAAAGAAAUAGAUCAAGAAUUAAAUCUGGCAAACAGUAUAAAUCUAAUAAAAUUAAAGGAAAAAGCAUAUUUAAUAUUGUGGCUGAUGAUGGUAAAGGUGGAAAUCAAACAAAUAUGAAUAACAUACUGUUCACUCCAAAUUUAUGUUCAAGCUUAAUUUCCAUUUAUAAAAAGCACUGAAAAAGCUUAUGAAGUUACAUUUAAAUGAGACAAACCAUAGUUUAUAACAAUAUUGUAGAAGUUAUGACAAUUGCUAAAAGAAAAAAUGAAAUGUACUAUGAUGAAGAUCAAACAGAAAACUCUUCUUUCACACAAUUUAGUAAUGAGAAAAUGUCAGAGUUAAAGAAAUGGCAUGAAAGAUUAGACCACUUAAAUAUAAGAAAUUUAAAAGAACUCUGAUGGAAUAAGAGAGUUUAGGACUGAAUUUAAAAGGAUAGAUAGAAUUACGUGAAUACAUAACAAGCAUAAAAGGGAAACAUGUUGAAACUCCAUUUCUUAAAAUAACUUCAAACAAAAGUAAGCUAUUUCACCUCUUGAACUUAUAAAUUCAGACAUUUACAGACCUAUGAGAAUUUUGCCUAUUAGUGAAGCUUAUUAUUUUUUUUGCUUUCAUAAAU
This 1497-nucleotide long non-coding RNA is filed under the name Androctonus crassicauda. Lineage: Eukaryota; Metazoa; Arthropoda; Arachnida; Scorpiones; Buthidae. The record is from RNAcentral.